This is a non-coding RNA of Triticum urartu, 372 nucleotides long. The record is from RefSeq and is a predicted model, not a curated record. Lineage: Eukaryota; Viridiplantae; Streptophyta; Magnoliopsida; Poales; Poaceae.
CUCUGUGAUCUCGAUCGGCCCUGCUCUCCACCGCCCGCCUCGACUUCGCUGGAGAUAGAGGCGUCGCCGCCCAGCAACCACGGCUGUCUUGCUCACCGACGAGCAUGGCGCUCCAUCAAUCUGGCCGGACCCAACGCGCGCGUGGCCUGUCUAGGGUCUCCGGCCACUAGGACGGGACAGCGCCAUCGGCUCCCUCGGCUCCGGCGACUGCGACUGGCAGCGGGCGUCUCUCCCAGUCAUCUUGCAGUUUCUGGGACGAGCGGGAGCACGAAGUGCUUUGGCUGUUCGGCAACUCCGAGUGACCACGGUACAGGGCAGGUGGCAUGGCAGCAGCCUACUUUCUUGUGCUCCUGGUCGAGUCUUGUGGAGAAG